CAACACACCCGGUCUCGGUGUCCAGCUGAAACGCUUGGUCAAACCUGUCAAUCAAGGCUCAGGCUAUUGUUUCUUGCUUGAUUGACAAGCGGUAUGUUAUUGAUCUCAAUCGAGAUCCCUGCCCUUAUCCCAAUAAAGAGUUUUUUUACGAAAAUGGCCAAUAUCAACAACAACAGACAGACGGCGGCCACACAGACAGGGUACAGUCCAGAUUCCUUUACAGAGACGUCAUUUAUCAACAACAACAGACAGACGGCGGCCUCAUAGACAGGGUACAGUCCAGGAAAAGUCGGAAAGGAUUGUCCUUGUUGUCAGGUCUUUUAAUUUGGAGCAGGCAGUGACAGCGUUUUUCAGAGUGAAAGGGUUAGAUAAACAUGUUGAAAGAAAUGUUUUGUACGUUUAUUUUUUCUACUGUAAAUGAAAGAAAAAAGAUACAUUAAAACACAAACAGUGGGGCAGUUCAACCCUCGCUCUCAUUUCUUGAAUGUUACGAGUAUGUGAAAAUAUAUUAAGGAAAAAAAAUUAUUUGGAAAGGUGAAUUUGAUUUGCAAACUUUAAACAUGUUUUUAGUUAUUGUUUCUA
Molecule: long non-coding RNA, 582 nt
Organism: Magallana angulata
Lineage: Eukaryota; Metazoa; Mollusca; Bivalvia; Ostreida; Ostreidae
Exons: 3
Source: RefSeq, a predicted model, not a curated record